GAUUAAGCAAAGAAGAGCGCAGGGUGGAUGCCUUGGCACUAAGAGCCGAAGAAAGACGUGAUAAGCUGCGAAAAGCUGCGGGGAGAUGCAAAUAAUCCUUGAUCCGCAGAUGUCUGAAUGGGGAAACCCGGUACGAAGAACUCGUAUCAUCCAUACGCCAAUCCAUAACGUAUGGAGGGGAACCCGGUGAACUGAAACAUCUAAGUAGCCGGAGGAAGAGAAAGAAACAUCGAUUUUGUUAGUAGCGGCGAGCGAAAGCGAAAGAGGCCAAACCGGAGUGCGUGCACUCCGGGGUUCGGACCGCAUUUAAGAUUCAGUAAUCCUAGCAGAAAGGUUUGGGAAAGCCUGCCGGAGAGGGUGAAAGCCCCGUAAGCGAAAGGAGAGCUGACUGAGCGGAAUCCAGAGUACAUCGAGACACGAGAAACCUUGAUGGAAUGAGCGGGGACCACCCCGUAAGCCUAAAUACUACUUAGUGACCGAUAGCGCAUAGUACUGUGAAGGAAAGGUGAAAAGGACCCCGGGAGGGGAGUGAAAGAGAACCUGAAACCCUGUGUUUACAAGCUGUGGAAGUUCUUUAAAUGAACAACCGCGUACUUUUUGUAGAACGGUCCGGCGAGUUGCGGAUACUGGCAAGGUUAAGCACUUAAGGUGCGGAGCCGAAGGGAUACCAAGUCUUAACAGGGCGUUAAGUCAGUAUACGCAGACCCGAAACCGGGUGAUCUAUCCAUGUCCAGGUUGAAGUUGUCGUAAAAGACAAUGGAGGACCGAAGCCACAUCCGUUGAAAAGGGUGGGCAUGAGGUGUGGAUAGGGGAGAAAUUCCAAUCGAACCCGGAGAUAGCUGGUUCUCCUCGAAAUAGCUUUAGGGCUAGCCUCGAUUUAGUCUUAUGGAGGUAGAGCACUGAAUUUCCGCGGGGGCGUCAAAGCUUACCAAAGAAUAUCAAACUCCGAAUGCCAUGUAGAUGAUGAUCGGGAGUCAGACUGCACGAGAUAAGUUGGGCAGUCAAAAGGGAAAGAGCCCAGACCACCGGCUAAGGUCCCAAAGUGCGUGUUAAGUGGAAAAGGAUGUGGGAAUUCGAAGACAACUAGGAUGUUGGCUCAGAAGCAGCCAUACAUUCAAAGAGUGCGUAACAGCUCACUAGUCGAGAGUUCCUGCGCCGAAAAUGUCCGGGGCUGAAACACGACACCGAAGCCGUGGACUCGCAAUGCGAGUGGUAGAGGAGCAUUCUUAAAACCGACGAAGCUGUACCGUAAAGAGCAGUGGAGGGAUAAGAAGAGAGAAUGCCGGAAUGAGUAGCGAGAGAAAGGUGGGAAUCCUUUCGGCCGAAUAUCUAAGGUUUCCAGAGUAAAGCUGAUCUGCUCUGGGUAAGUCGGGGCCUAAGCACAGGUCGCAAGACGUAAGCGAUGGAUAACAGGUUUAGAUUCCUGUACCACGCAUUAUCAGAACUGUAGGGACGCAUGUGGAAAGCACGGGCCGGGAAUGGAAAAACCGGUACAAGCGGGGUAGGUGUACAACAGGCAAAUCCGUUGUAUAAUCCGAAGACGUGAUGUGGAGCGAAAUAAAGUAGCAAAGCGUGUGAGCCAUGUGCCGAGAAAAGCUGCUAUUGUGUAAUGCGUGCCCGUACCGUAAACCGACACAGGUGGAUGAGGAGAGAAUCCUAAGGCCGGCGGAAGAAGCAUUGUUAAGGAAUUCGGCAAAAUGACCCCGUAACUUCGGGAGAAGGGGUGCCUGCGAGAGCAGGCCGCAGAGAAUAGGCUCAAGCAACUGUUUAGCAAAAACACAGGUCUAUGCGAAACCGAAAGGUGAAGUAUAUGGGCUGACGCCUGCCCGGUGCUGGAAGGUUAAGAGGAGAGGUUAGCUUCGGCGAAGCUUUGAAUUUAAGCCCCAGUAAACGGCGGCCGUAACUAUAACGGUCCUAAGGUAGCGAAAUUCCUUGUCGGGUAAGUUCCGACCCGC
This 1955-nucleotide ribosomal RNA is filed under the name Agathobacter rectalis. RNAcentral's name for it is "partial 23S ribosomal RNA". It matches the Rfam family "Bacterial large subunit ribosomal RNA", at positions 1 to 1991 of the family's 2925-position model. The record is from RNAcentral. Lineage: Bacteria; Bacillati; Bacillota; Clostridia; Lachnospirales; Lachnospiraceae.